GAUGAACGCUGGCGGCGUGCCUAAUACAUGCAAGUCGAGCGAACGGACGAGAAGCUUGCUUCUCUGAUGUUAGCGGCGGACGGGUGAGUAACACGUGGAUAACCUACCUAUAAGACUGGGAUAACUUCGGGAAACCGGAGCUAAUACCGGAUAAUAUUUUGAACCGCAUGGUUCAAAAGUGAAAGACGGUCUUGCUGUCACUUAUAGAUGGAUCCGCGCUGCAUUAGCUAGUUGGUAAGGUAACGGCUUACCAAGGCAACGAUGCAUAGCCGACCUGAGAGGGUGAUCGGCCACACUGGAACUGAGACACGGUCCAGACUCCUACGGGAGGCAGCAGUAGGGAAUCUUCCGCAAUGGGCGAAAGCCUGACGGAGCAACGCCGCGUGAGUGAUGAAGGUCUUCGGAUCGUAAAACUCUGUUAUUAGGGAAGAACAUAUGUGUAAGUAACUGUGCACAUCUUGACGGUACCUAAUCAGAAAGCCACGGCUAACUACGUGCCAGCAGCCGCGGUAAUACGUAGGUGGCAAGCGUUAUCCGGAAUUAUUGGGCGUAAAGCGCGCGUAGGCGGUUUUUUAAGUCUGAUGUGAAAGCCCACGGCUCAACUGUGGAGGGUCAUUGGAAACUGGAAAACUUGAGUGCAGAAGGGGAAAGUGGAAUUCCAUGUGUAGCGGUGAAAUGCGCAGAGAUAUGGAGGAACACCAGUGGCGAAGGCGACUUUCUGGUCUGUAACUGACGCUGAUGUGCGAAAGCGUGGGGAUCAAACAGGAUUAGAUACCCUGGUAGUCCACGCCGUAAACGAUGAGUGCUAAGUGUUAGGGGGUUUCCGCCCCUUAGUGCUGCAGCUAACGCAUUAAGCACUCCGCCUGGGGAGUACGACCGCAAGGUUGAAACUCAAAGGAAUUGACGGGGACCCGCACAAGCGGUGGAGCAUGUGGUUUAAUUCGAAGCAACGCGAAGAACCUUACCAAAUCUUGACAUCCUUUGACAACUCUAGAGAUAGAGCCUUCCCCUUCGGGGGACAAAGUGACAGGUGGUGCAUGGUUGUCGUCAGCUCGUGUCGUGAAAUGUUGGGUUAAGUCCCGCAACGAGCGCAACCCUUAAGCUUAGUUGCCAUCAUUAAGUUGGGCACUCUAAGUUGACUGCCGGUGACAAACCGGAGGAAGGUGGGGAUGACGUCAAAUCAUCAUGCCCCUUAUGAUUUGGGCUACACACGUGCUACAAUGGACAAUACAAAGGGCAGCGAAACCGCGAGGUCAAGCAAAUCCCAUAAAGUUGUUCUCAGUUCGGAUUGUAGUCUGCAACUCGACUACAUGAAGCUGGAAUCGCUAGUAAUCGUAGAUCAGCAUGCUACGGUGAAUACGUUCCCGGGUCU
Molecule: ribosomal RNA, 1372 nt
Filed under: uncultured bacterium
Lineage: Bacteria
Description: bacterial SSU rRNA
Rfam family: Bacterial small subunit ribosomal RNA
Source: RNAcentral